GACGAACGCUGGCGGCGUGCCUAAUACAUGCAAGUUGAGCGCUGAAGGUUGGUACUUGUACCAACUGGAUGAGCAGCGAACGGGUGAGUAACGCGUGGGGAAUCUGCCUUUGAGCGGGGGACAACAUUUGGAAACGAAUGCUAAUACCGCAUAAAAACUUUAAACACAAGUUUUAAGUUUGAAAUAUGCAAUUGCAUCACUCAAAGAUGAUCCCGCGUUGUAUUAGCUAGUUGGUGAGGUAAAGGCUCACCAAGGCGAUGAUACAUAGCCGACCUGAGAGGGUGAUCGGCCACAUUGGGACUGAGACACGGCCCAAACUCCUACGGGAGGCAGCAGUAGGGAAUCUUCGGCAAUGGACGAAAGUCUGACCGAGCAACGCCGCGUGAGUGAAGAAGGUCUUCGGAUCGUAAAACUCUGUUGGUAGAGAAGAACGUUGGUGAGAGUGGAAAGCUCAUCAAGUGACGGUAACUACCCAGAAAGGGACGGCUAACUACGUG
RNAcentral lists this ribosomal RNA (497 nucleotides) under uncultured bacterium. RNAcentral's name for it is "partial 16S ribosomal RNA". It matches the Rfam family "Bacterial small subunit ribosomal RNA", at positions 28 to 507 of the family's 1533-position model. The record is from RNAcentral.